This 448-nucleotide ribosomal RNA is filed under the name uncultured bacterium. Its description in RNAcentral is "SSU rRNA". It matches the Rfam family "Bacterial small subunit ribosomal RNA", at positions 26 to 518 of the family's 1533-position model. The record is from RNAcentral.
AGAACGAACGCUGGCGGCAUGCCUAACACAUGCAAGUCGAACGAGACCUUUCGGGGUCUAGUGGCGCACGGGUGCGUAACGCGUGGGAAUCUGCCCUUGGGUUCGGAAUAACAGUGGGAAACUACUGCUAAUACCGGAUGAUGACGUAAGUCCAAAGAUUUAUCGCCCGAGGAUGAGCCCGCGUAGGAUUAGCUAGUUGGUGAGGUAAUGGCUCACCAAGGCGACGAUCCUUAGCUGGUCUGAGAGGAUGAUCAGCCACACUGGGACUGAGACACGGCCCAGACUCCUACGGGAGGCAGCAGUGGGGAAUAUUGGACAAUGGGCGCAAGCCUGAUCCAGCAAUGCCGCGUGAGUGAUGAAGGCCUUAGGGUUGUAAAGCUCUUUUACCAGGGAUGAUAAUGACAGUACCUGGAGAAUAAGCUCCGGCUAACUCCGUGCCAGCAGCCGC